GGGCUCGUGGUACAGUGGUAGCACGUUCGCUUAGCAUGCGAAAGGUCCUGGGUUCAAUUCCCAGCGAGUCCA
RNAcentral lists this transfer RNA (72 nucleotides) under Schizophyllum commune H4-8. RNAcentral's name for it is "tRNA-Ala (AGC) (tRNA-Ala-AGC-2-1, tRNA-Ala-AGC-2-2)". It matches the Rfam family "tRNA". Rfam says of the family: Transfer RNA (tRNA) molecules are approximately 80 nucleotides in length. Their secondary structure includes four short double-helical elements and three loops (D, anti-codon, and T loops). The record is from RNAcentral. Lineage: Eukaryota; Fungi; Basidiomycota; Agaricomycetes; Agaricales; Schizophyllaceae.